ACGGCUCAGUAACACGUGGAUAACCUGCCCUUGGGUCUGGCAUAACCCCGGGAAACUGGGGAUAAUACCGGAUAACGCAUAUAUGCUGGAAUUCUUUAUGCGUGAAAUGGAUUCGUCUGCCCAAGGAUGGGUCUGCGGCCUAUCAGGUAGUAGUGGGUGUAAUGUACCUACUAGCCGACGACGGGUACGGGUUGUGAGAGCAAGAGCCCGGAGAUGGAUUCUGAGACAUGAAUCCAGGCCCUACGGGGCGCAGCAGGCGCGAAAACUUUACAAUGCGGGAAACCGUGAUAAGGGGACACCGAGUGCCAGCAUCAUAUGUUGGCUGUCCGGGUGUGUAAAAUACACCUGUUAGCAAGGGCCGGGCAAGACCGGUGCCAGCCGCCGCGGUAACACCGGCGGCCCGAGUGGUGAUCGUGUUUAUUGGGUCUAAAGGGUCCGUAGCCGGUUUGGUCAGUCCUCUGGGAAAUCUGACGGCUUAACCGUUAGGCUUUCGGGGGAUACUGCCAGACUUGGAACCGGGAGAGGUAAGAGGUACUACAGGGGUGGGAGUGAAAUCUUGUAAUCCCUGUGGGACCACCUGUGGCGAAGGCGUCUUACCAGAACGGGUUCGACGGUGAGGGACGAAAGCUGGGGGCACGAACCGGAUUAGAUACCCGGGUAGUCCCAGCCGUAAACGAUGCUCGCUAGGUGUCAGGCAUGGCGCGACCGUGUCUGGUGCCGCAGGGAAGCCGUGAAGCGAGCCACCUGGGAAGUACGGCCGCAAGGCUGAAACUUAAAGGAAUUGGCGGGGGAGCAC
Molecule: ribosomal RNA, 796 nt
Filed under: uncultured archaeon
Lineage: Archaea
Description: bacterial SSU rRNA
Rfam family: Archaeal small subunit ribosomal RNA
Source: RNAcentral